Prionailurus viverrinus (fishing cat) is the source of this 5308-nucleotide RNA transcript. It is a transcript of the gene named DnaJ heat shock protein family (Hsp40) member C5, with no coding region annotated. NCBI's taxonomy places the organism in Eukaryota, Metazoa, Chordata, Mammalia, Carnivora, Felidae. The transcript has 6 exons. The record is from RefSeq and is a predicted model, not a curated record.
UGAGCGUGCGUGGACGUGCGCGCCCCCGCCGCCUGUGCCGGUGCUGCUCCCGCGCCCUCUGCCGCCGCUGCCCCAGCCGCCGCCGCCGCCGCCGCCUCCUCCCCCACCCUCGACCCCCGGGGUUCCCGAGACGCAGCCCCGGCUGAGGAGGAGCGCGUCGGCCGGCUGCCCAGCAGCGCCGCGGAGCUGAGGAGCGGAGCCGCGGAACGGCGGGCGGGCGGGCGGGCGGACAGAUUAGCCUACCAUGGCAGACCAGAGACAGCGCUCACUCUCUACCUCUGGGGAAUCACUCUACCAUGUUCUGGGGCUGGACAAGAAUGCAACCUCAGAUGACAUUAAAAAGUCCUAUCGAAAACUUGCCUUGAAAUACCACCCUGACAAGAACCCCGAUAACCCGGAGGCGGCAGACAAGUUCAAGGAGAUCAACAACGCCCACGCCAUCCUGACGGACGCCACAAAAAGAAACAUCUACGACAAGUACGGGUCGCUGGGGCUCUACGUGGCCGAGCAGUUUGGAGAGGAGAACGUGAACACCUACUUUGUGCUCUCCAGCUGGUGGGCCAAGGCGCUGUUUGUCGUGUGCGGCCUCCUCACCUGCUGCUACUGCUGCUGCUGCCUCUGCUGCUGCUUCAACUGCUGCUGCGGGAGGUGCAAGCCCAGGGCGCCCGCGGGCGAGGACGCCGGCUUCUACGUGUCCCCCGAGGACCUGGAGGCACAGCUGCAGUCGGACGAGCGGGGAGGGCACUGACACGGUGCCGCAGUGUUUGUGGUGGUCGCUGGGACUGUUGAGGUGUGAACGUGGACACUUGAGAGGCCGCAGACACGCCGAUUGUCAUACAGCCAGCGUCCGCCACAGAGACCACCCAGCUCACGGCCGACUCCCACCCCAGCUACCACACCGACGGGUUCAACUAAGUUCCGGAGCCGCUGUGAUAGAGGAUAGCCCAGCACCCGGCCACUUCACCCUUAGAAUCAUGAACUGUAGCCGCAGAGAUGGGGAGGGGGCUGCCCUGGCCACGGAGGAGGGGCAGCCGCCAGCCCGCCGGGGCCCUUCCCACCUCUGUGCCCGCCCGCCCGUCGCCCCCCAACACGUGAAGUGCGUCGCAUGCAGUAUUUAAAGCAGUGUAGCUACGGUCCUCUUCUGUUCUCUCCUUUUUUAAUAGCAUGUCUGGGGCCACGUUCCGUGUGUGUCUGUGUUGUGGGCGCGCCGCCGUGUGGCCGCGUGAACCAGACGCCGAAGCAGUCUCGGGGCUCACGAGUGGCCGCACCGGCCGUGGCUGCUGCGUAGGGUCUCCCAGCCGGGCAGGCUGGGGCCAGAAGGGUGGCUCCUUCCCCUGUGUUGGUGGCGGCCAGAGGCGGGUUCUGGCCGGCGGCAGCUGUGAGGUCCAGUCCCUGUCCCGGCUCGCCAGCCGUGUGGUCACAGCCAGAGCCUCUGGACGCGUUCGUUGCCUGGGAGGAGCUGGGCACGUCCUCCCUCCGCCCAGCGCUGGUGGCCUGUUCGUGCUGUGGGUUUGUGCGGGGCCGUUUGCCUUGGUGGCUUGGCCUCGUGGCUGGGUUUUCCUUUGGGUGAGUUUGUCAUGGAACGUGUCGCAGGCUCUGCCGACCCCAAGAUCGCGUUUUCUGCCCGGAUGCGGCCCGGGUCUCCGUGGCACGCGGUCCCUGGCCAGGCUGCGGGACGUGGUUCUUCCGCACUCCCACUCUCGUGCCCCGGCCACAUUCCAGCCACCUGCCCUCCCCUCGGGUCACCCUCCACAUUCCUUCAGGCCCGCCCGGGCCUCCUGGUGGGCCUUUCUGGGCCUGGAAGAACCACAAGUGGUGGUGGUGAGCCAGUUUGUUGUCAGAGGGGCUGACCGUCCAGGUCCAGGUUGCUGGCGGAGCAGGGCCGAGCGGCUCUGGGAAGCACAGUGGUGAGCACAGCCCUCUUCUCUGCGCUUCCCAGAGCUCCUGCCCUCCUUCCUUCGCCCGUUCCCUUCGGCCGCCGUUGAUGGUUCAGGCGGCGCUAGAGACGUCAGGUUCCCAGAGGAGGCGGCACCUGGACCGAAGGUGCGCCUGGUGCCCUUGGCUGGUGAGCCAGCAGCCGGACUGUGGGAUGGAUCCUCCUCUCACCGCUGUGUUGAGCGGCACCUUUUGUGGAGCUGGAAGUCAGUCUUGUCUGUGCCCCGGAACUCGUGGGUGACGCCCCUGCCGCGGGGACUGAGGAGACGUGGGUUAUGAUGUGCCCGUGCCGGCCCAGAGUUGAGAGUUGCCCCACACCCCCAGCGCCACCGGAUGUGCUGUGGCUCCCUGCUGGGCCUGCACUGGCCGGUGGAGACCCAUGGGGCCCACGUGGGCUUGGCUGCUGCGGAGUGCGUCCUGGAUUUGCAGAUGAAGGACGAGGACGACGCCGGCUCAGACGUACCAGGUCGUGCUCCUGACGCCCGCGGCCUCCACCCCCUCCCGCCCGCCCGCCCGCGGAGCCCUCGCUUGUCUGCCACCGGGGCCUUGAGGAGAGCAGGUUCUUGUUGUUGGCCAGGAAGUGGCCGGAGGGAUAGCAGCGUGAGGACAGAAUGCGGAUGCGCUCGGAGAGCAGCCGUGUGAGGGCGGAGCCAGCACCAGGCCCCUGGGCAGGUGUUUGAUCCCAUUUUGUUGUUUUUUUGUCCAUUAAAAUGAUUGUGAAGACGUCCAACGAGAGAGAAAGUAUGCACUGUGAUUUUAAAUUAGAAAUCAUUCGCUAAAAUCUGACCUCGUGAAAGGCUAAGAAAUUCAUUGCCGGCUCUGGGACCAGGGAGGAGGUAAGACCACAGAGCUGUUCUCUGCCAGUCCCAACACGGCAGCGAGAUGGAGCCUGAGAGGCAGGCUGUGGUCGGCCUUUGUGACGUUCUGGAAAUACCUUUGGGAGCUGUUUUUCCCCCAGAAUGGCCAAGAACUAACUUCAAAGCCUGGACUUAAGGUAGAAAGCCUCCCCCUCUGCUGCUGGGACCUGCAGGGGACCAUGCACCUCUGUGCUCAAAAAAACCCUGGGGCCACUGCAUGCGUCUGGGAGCCCCUCGCCAAGUGUCCUCCAGCCACAGGACGGGACACUGUCCUGGGGGCCGGGGUGGGUGGGUGUUGCAAGAGGGGCCGGGCAGGAAGUUUGUCCGACCAGUCCUUUGAAGAAUGUGUGUAGUCGAAGUGAAUCGUGGCAGUGAGGACGGUGACGAUUGCCCAGGGGCCUGGGGUUCUCCCCGCCUGGCCCUGACUUGGCGAUUCUGAAUGAGAGCCCCCCCCCCCCCCCCCCCCCCCGGGGUGUGCUCACUGUCAGCCCUGGGCGUGUUCCCUUUUUCUGGAGUGUUCUGUGUGUUUCCCUGCUGUGCACUUGCUGAGUCUGGAGGGGCACCCUGUUCACUGGCCACAUGGGGGCGACUGUCUGCCUGCUGCGCAGCUGUGAGAGCUCCUGGCUCUAGGACACCCCCACCCCACCCCCGCUUCCUUUCCCGUGCCCCCCCCCCCCCCCGGUCCCCUUCUCCCCUCCCCCUCCCUCUUUUCCCUCCCUACAACCCCCGUGCCUUCCCACCCACCGCCCGCUUCCCCCCUCCACUUACCUCCCCUGCUUCCCUCCCCCACACACCCACCCCCCUCGAGCCAAGGCCAUGUGUGGCCAGAGAGCGCCGGGCCAGUGUGGGCUGGAGCCCGUCCUGUUCCACAAAGCGCAGGGCUUGCCCAGAUGCCCUCAGGGGCCUGGCAGCAGCGACCGCUUCAGGAUGGCAGGAAACACGCAGGAGACUCGCGGGGCGUCUGAUGGUGGCUGCUGGUGUUUGCGUUCUGUUCCUGCCCCGUGAUGUGGUCUUCUUUCCUUUCUCUUGUCUUCCUUUGGCUUUGUUCUGUUUUCAAACUGCUUUAGAUAUGACCGCUCGGCGUGUGAGCUUUCCUAGUUCCCUGGUCAGUCAGCGCUGUUUGGCACCCAUGGGGACCCACUGGAGAAGAAGCCAGAGUGUGCUGGGGUUAGAGCAGGUGGCGUUUCCACACCCUUGACCACCAGGUGUGGCCACGAGGCUCCUGCUCCAGGAAAGGCCUGUUCCCACGAGUUCUGACGGCAGGGGGGCCGUCGGGUGAGCUCCUGCCGGAGGAGUGCCCGCUGGCCGUCUGGGAGACGCUGGGGUGACACCACCAGCAGGUGGGCUGGGCGCCUGCCCGCGGGCUCCCACCGGGGGUGGCGGGGGGCCCUGCCCGGCCUCCCCCGGCUCUCGGCAGAUCCCACCAGAGGGACGGACGUGAGGGUGUGGGAGGAGCGACCUCAUUCCUUUCUCAACACGCUGAUCUGUGAGCCCGUGUGACACAGGACCGCCCUGUUUGUUUUUGUUACUUUGGUUGUGAACCCUCCUGUGGAAUUGGCGAAAGCUACGUUUUUACUGUCCUUACGAGCACGGUUGGCGUUGUCUGUGCUGUAGGUGUGGGCAGUGGGUGUGUGUGUGUGUGUGUGUGUGUGUACAUAUGUGAAUAUGUAUAUAUCCCGCGGCAGGCGUGACUGCUGCUGCCCAGCGGCAACAAGUACAAUAAAAGCUGGCCCCAAAACGGCCUUGGGUUUCCUGGUGAGUUGGGUCAAGAGCAGGGUCUUGGAGGCAGGUAGGCUCCUUCGCCGGGUGCGCAGAAGUGAACACCGACCCACUUGUGUCCCUAGGGUUUGUGUGAACGGCCAGGUAGGGUGCCAGGGCUACCGUGGUGGACCAUCCCCCAGUGCCACCCCCAUCUCUGGGGGCCCACCCUUCGUGCUCACCUGACACUCCAGUGAGUGACCCUUUGGGACCUCCAGGUGGCUGGAAAUCUUCCCUCCCUCGAAACAUUAAAACCAGUUUUCUAAGCAUAGGAUACAGCCCAUGACAAAUGCAUUCUAGAGGGGAUGCUGUCUCCUGCCCACAGGUCUGCUUUGGGAGGGGUCCACUGGGAAGGAGCAGGGGCCACAAGGGGCCACCCUCCAGGAAGGGGCUGGGCUCAGGGUCCACAGGCAGUACCUUUCGCAAAUUUUGUUUCCCUAGGAAAUGGGACAAUGUUUCAAGCUAAGAGAGGGAAGGCAGUUCACUCUGGAAUAGACACGUGUGUGUGUGUGUGUAUAUAUACAUUGUUUUUAAAUACUAAAUACAAAUGCAUGGAAACAGCCGUCCAUGCGCCGGUUUUGUCCUGUUGCUGGAACCCACAGAGGUGGGCAGGUGCCCCUGACCCCGGCUCCCACGUGCACCCUUGAGGGCCAGGCUGGAGGGUUAGGAUGGGUCCCGUGAUGAUCUCCAUUUCGUAUGUCUGAAUGUUGACCUUAAAAUAAAGAUAACUGUUGUAAAAUAAAUGUUUUCACCGCAAA